Molecule: ribosomal RNA, 468 nt
Filed under: uncultured bacterium
Lineage: Bacteria
Description: partial 16S ribosomal RNA
Rfam family: Bacterial small subunit ribosomal RNA
Source: RNAcentral
GACGAACGCUGGCGGCGUGCUUAACACAUGCAAGUCGAACGGAAAGGCCCGGCUUUGGUGGGCUGCUCGAGUGGCGAACGGGUGAGUAACACGUGAGUAACCUGUCCCUGCCCUUGGGAUAACUUCAGGAAACUGGGGCUAAUACCGGAUAGGAGCUCUUGCUGCAUGGUGGGGGUUGGAAAGUUUCGGCGGUUGGGGGUGGACUCGCGUCUCAUCAGCUUGUUGGUGUGGUAGUGGCUUAGCAAGGCUUGGCCGGGUAGCAUUGCUGCGAGGCUGAGCUGCCACGUUGCGACUGGGCUGCGGCCCAGACUCCUACGGGAGGCAGCGGUGCAGUAUAUUGCACAAGAGGCGGAGGCCUGAUGCGGUAACGCCACGUGCGGGGUGUCGGCCUUCGGGUUGUAUUCCACUUUCGCCUGUGACGAGACGUGAAUGACGGUAAUGGGUGAAGAAGCACCGGCUAACUACGUG